AUAAGACGAGAAGACCCUAUGGAGCUUAAGACACCAAGGCAUAUCAUGUUAAACACCCCAAGAUAAAGGACUGAACUGAGUGAAUUAUGCCCCUAUGUCUUUGGUUGGGGCGACCACGG
Molecule: ribosomal RNA, 119 nt
Filed under: Pomatomus saltator
Lineage: Eukaryota; Metazoa; Chordata; Actinopteri; Scombriformes; Pomatomidae
Description: partial 16S ribosomal RNA
Source: RNAcentral